AUGAAGAAAAUAAGGGCGUACAGUGGAUGCCUUGGCACUAAGAGCCGAUGAAGGACA
RNAcentral lists this ribosomal RNA (57 nucleotides) under Coconut lethal yellowing phytoplasma. RNAcentral describes it as "partial 23S ribosomal RNA". The record is from RNAcentral. Lineage: Bacteria; Bacillati; Mycoplasmatota; Mollicutes; Acholeplasmatales; Acholeplasmataceae.